Podarcis lilfordi (Lilford's wall lizard) is the source of this 69-nucleotide non-coding RNA. The record is from the annotation of a GenBank genome assembly. Lineage: Eukaryota; Metazoa; Chordata; Lepidosauria; Squamata; Lacertidae.
GCCGUAGCUCAGUGGUAGAGCACCUGCUUUGCGUGCAGAAGGUCGCAGGUUCGAUUCCCCACAUCACCA